Small nucleolar RNA from Brugia malayi, 110 nucleotides. The record is from RefSeq and is a predicted model, not a curated record. Lineage: Eukaryota; Metazoa; Nematoda; Chromadorea; Rhabditida; Onchocercidae.
UGCCCUCGGACAAAUGCCUCUAGACAUCAUGACUAGGCACGGCAAGGUGCAAUAACUGCACCCCGCAUCGUACAAACUCAGACUCGUCAUCUUGUAUUUCUUCACAGGGC